GAGCGAGGAGGCAGCCCCCGUGGCUCCCGGAUCGCUUAGUGAGAAGGAAAGGGCGGAGCCUCAGCAGGCAGUCCCGCCCUUUUCUCCCCGCCCUUUCUCAGCUGAAGCCGAAGCUGAAGUCCUGCGCUGUCUGAUUUUUGCCACGUGGGAGCUAGCGGUGACACAAGAGAUACAGACAGAGGCUCCCAGACAGAAUUCAGCCAAAUUACAUGAAGAGAAGAACGUCAAGUCAGAAGAAGCCACGAGUCAGAGCUGAGCUGAAGAUUGAGAAGGGUCUCUCAGAGGCACAACCAGAUUCAUCUUCAUCUCACACCACUGUGGUGGCUGGGCUCCUGCACUUCCCCCACUGAGACCAAGCUGGUCUGAAAGACUCACCAGAAAGCUAGCCGAGCCCCAAGUGAAGGAGACAAGAGAUUCAUUCUAUCUUUGUGCUGGUUGGAGGUUGAAGGAAGCAGAGGUAAAGGACAAAACGGCAGGAGCUCUUGGAACCAAGCAGAGAGAUAGGCCUCUAAGCUAACCAGGCUAUAUUGGAGACAAUAAAAGAUCUGAAUUUUUAUCA
Long non-coding RNA from Antechinus flavipes (yellow-footed antechinus), 559 nucleotides. RefSeq lists it as uncharacterized. Lineage: Eukaryota; Metazoa; Chordata; Mammalia; Dasyuromorphia; Dasyuridae. The record is from RefSeq and is a predicted model, not a curated record. The transcript has 2 exons.